This 371-nucleotide ribosomal RNA is filed under the name uncultured bacterium. RNAcentral describes it as "bacterial SSU rRNA". It matches the Rfam family "Bacterial small subunit ribosomal RNA", at positions 527 to 896 of the family's 1533-position model. The record is from RNAcentral.
GAAGGGUGCAAGCGUUACUCGGAAUUACUGGGCGUAAAGCGUGCGUAGGUGGUUUGUUAAGUCUGAUGUGAAAGCCCUGGGCUCAACCUGGGAAUGGCAUUGGAUACUGGCGAGCUAGAGUGCGGUAGAGGGUAGUGGAAUUCCCGGUGUAGCAGUGAAAUGCGUAGAGAUCGGGAGGAACAUCUGAGGCGAAGGCGACUACCUGGACCAGCACUGACACUGAGGCACGAAAGCGUGGGGAGCAAGCAGGAUUAGAUACCCUGGUAGUCCACGCCCUAAACGAUGCGAACUGGAUGUUGGGAGCAAUUAGGCUCUCAGUAUCGAAGCUAACGCGUUAAGUUCGCCGCCUGGGGAGUACGGUCGCAAGACUG